This 86-nucleotide transfer RNA is filed under the name Tsukamurella paurometabola. RNAcentral's name for it is "tRNA-Ala(cgc)". The record is from RNAcentral. Lineage: Bacteria; Bacillati; Actinomycetota; Actinomycetes; Mycobacteriales; Tsukamurellaceae.
UCGCGGGCGGUGCGGCCGGAUCGGCACUGCUCCUGCUCGCACCGGGAGACACCUUCGAGCGGGUGGUCCCGGUGCUCAUCGCGAUC